RNAcentral lists this ribosomal RNA (253 nucleotides) under uncultured bacterium. RNAcentral's name for it is "partial 16S ribosomal RNA". It matches the Rfam family "Bacterial small subunit ribosomal RNA", at positions 524 to 776 of the family's 1533-position model. The record is from RNAcentral.
UACGAAGGGUGCAAGCGUUACUCGGAAUUACUGGGCGUAAAGCGUGCGUAGGCGGUUUGUUAAGUCCGUUGUGAAAGCCCUGGGCUCAACCUGGGAAUUGCAGUGGAUACUGGCGAGCUAGAGUGCGGUAGAGGAUGGUGGAAUUCCCGGUGUAGCGGUGAAAUGCGUAGAGAUCGGGAGGAACACCCGUGGCGAAGGCGGCCAUCUGGACCAGCACUGACGCUGAGACGCGAAAGCGUGGGGAGCAAACAGG